RNAcentral lists this long non-coding RNA (18321 nucleotides) under Populus tremula. RNAcentral describes it as "long non-coding RNA (PTRE_LNC001591)". Lineage: Eukaryota; Viridiplantae; Streptophyta; Magnoliopsida; Malpighiales; Salicaceae. The record is from RNAcentral.
CAAUGAUUAACGUAAAUAUUACUUUGUAAACAGGUCCGAAGCCCCCUCUUCCAAGCUUGUUUGCUUCUGAAAAAUAAUCCGUAGCUGCUAGUAUGCUGUCUAAAUCAAAGAAAGGUACAUCUAUGCCCUUCUUAUCUUCUUCGUUGAACUCUUCUGCAUCCAUCAAGUUCUUGACCCGUUUCUCAGUGCCAUACAAAACAGCUGCAUUUCUUUCAGUAUUUUGCUGGCUUUCUGAAAUUUCAAGAAGACAACUGCUAAUUACUUGAGGAAUCCCUUAAAAAGUUCAAUACCACCUUACACGUGGAAAAUUUGUCUAGUUACCUCGUCGUUUGGCCUUCUUUCUCAUCAAAAUGCAGAUGUAAAGGAAGAUGCUUGAUAGAACUAUGACAGUAGCAAUUGCAACUCCUACAAUCAAAGACAAUGGUUUCUUUCCUCCUGCUUGUCCAUCGAAAACUUCAAGAAAGAAAGGGGGUAUGCGCAUUAUAAUAAAUUAAACUGGAUGAAACUUAUGGUUUUCACUACUUUUGCAGUUUGAGGCAAGAUAUAGAGUGCUCACCAUGAACGCAAUUUAGAGCAUUGCCAUCCCACCAAAAAUUUGAAUUGCAGAGGCAUCUCGCUGUGCCAUUUCCUUUUUUAUUGCAAGUUGAAUUUGACCAAUCGUCGCAGUCUGAAGACGAAGAGCAGACUGGCUCUUGAGGUGGCUCCCAACCAAUAACUAUUUCUACCAGACCUUGAGAUGAAACAUUGGAAUCACACCAGCGUUUAGAGGCGUUCAUCUUAAAUGGAAAUGACGUGUUGAACUUCCGAAUUUGACCUCUUGUACUGGCAUUACAAUCAUCUACAUCUUUCUCUUGGAUAACAAAUGUUCUUGUAUCUUGAUUGAUGGUAGUGACAUUAUAGGUGCUGUUGUGUGUCUUAAAGCUGAGUUUUCCUGUGGACUUAUCGCAGUAGAAACUGGAGUACAUGGGGUCACCACAAUCUGAUCCAUUACUUAGAGGAUAAGGAAUCACAUUUAUGCCACAAGGCUCACAACUUUUAGCCUUUGAUUCUGCAAAACAUGGAGCUUUUUUUAAGGUAUGAACAGUACUGAUAUUUAGUUCAGUUAUGAAUUAAGUCCACUGCUUGUGUGCAAUCUUCUAUCGAGAAAUUUCCUUGACGUAAUUACAGCAUCUUGUAGUAACAAAAGGAGAAAGAACAAGUCGAAAGAAGGAAGUACCUAUGUCAGCAAUAGGGACACGACAAAGAGAUCCAGCCCAUCAUAAGAAUAUUCCUCCUGGAGAUCUUUAAGAUCAUCCAUCCAGAUCGAGCAGUGUUGUUGCCAGGUUGUCUGUCCCUUCGCUAUUGACUUCCCUUCACAAAGGAAUAAGCUGGGCAUUGGCACUUAUCGAGACACUCCUCUCUGCAUUUCUUUUCAUCCUCAACCACAAAUGAAGUGUAUGCUGUCCAACUCUCAUCAUCUUCAAGCUCAAGAAGGUGUCAUUCUUCCCACAUCCGGCAGCGCUUCUGAUGCAACCACCAGAGAAACUCCCAUUCCUCCAAUUUUCCUGUGAUAGGCUCAAAUCCUGGCAAACCUGCAAGCCAACUAUUGUAUAGAUUGCAGCUGCCGAAGUUCCCACAGGCAUUAAGCACACUGCAUUUGUCUCUCGGCUCAAACCAUUGCAAAGACCAAUUUGUAUACACAUCGAAGUUCCAGUAUUGUAGCUCCCCUUUAACAUCCAACCUAAUCCUUGUUAUUAUAAUCUGAGGGUGAUCGAGUUGUGCUGCUUUUUGGAACAGAUCUGGUGAAGUUCGAUAGAAAAAUAUGCUAUUCCAUCAGGCAUUCUUUCUGAGCUAAAGAAAUCACUUGACUUCCACUACUGCCAUCGGAGAUAGCAAACUGGUCCGUUUCUUCAUCUAGCUGAAAUGUGAAGUUACCUUCUUGUGGAUCAACUUCACUUUUCCAUGACGUCAAAUUUAGAUCCCCACUCAUCUUCAUACCUGGAAGAAAUGUAUCAGUUGGAUGGUCAAAGCUUUGCCAUAGAAUAGUUGCCAAAAGGGUAUUACUAUCACACAAAACCAAGUUCCCAGAAUCUAAGAGCUUAGCCAACCCAUUCGCUGGUUUUGAUGUUGAUUCAAGCCCUGUAGACCAAAAAGGAUCUCCGUUUUUAUCCAAAAUCUUGAGGUUUCCAUCAUCUGUGACAGCCAAAACUGCUCCAUCAUCAAGAAGUGGGCGGUCUCGAUUGGCAACCCACACAACUAUUCGUGGAUUCGACCUGUAAUACCAAAUUCCUACGUAGCUUUUGUUUCGUUCAGGAGUAAAGAACCCCAGUUCAAACCUUUUUCCUGCUGAAACAAGAGUUUCUCCACCAUGUUAUAAAUUACCUGCUUAAGUGUGAUGGUAUCUCUAGCAAAGCAACAUAAAAGGGAGGAGCAUAAUAAGAAUGCAUAAGAAAAGAAAACGGUUGAUAGCAUGCUAUGCAUUGCACAUAGAUCUCUCUGGUUAAGACCUCUUCUUACCAUCAACCAUGAAUGUAUCACUCAAGUCAACUGCAAAGCAAAUUUUCACUGCACUUGUUCUGUGUUGACGCUGACCAUAAAGGAAGGGAGAUGAUGCUUUACUAAACUUAGAUUAAUUUAGAAUAGUUAAUCAUUUGAACACCACAACAUUUUCCUAGUCAUCGACAAAAAAUUAAUACAUUGUAACGUUGUAGUGUUUAUUUUGUAAAAUAUUUUUUAUUUAAAAAUAUAUUAAAAUAAUAUUUUUAUUAUUUUUAAAAAUUAUUUUUGAUAUUAAAAAUUAAUUUUAAAUAAAAAAAUUAUAAUUUAAUGAGAAACACAAUUUAAAACAAUUUUGUUAUCUCCGAUAGAGUUGCCGUAGUGGGGUGGUAAUGAAGAUAGCAACAGUGAUGAUAACAAUGUAUGUAGUGAUGAUGAUAAGAUUUUGAUGGUUAAGAUUAUUUGAUGAUUUUGUGUGUAAAUUAUUAUUUAAAAAAGUUUAAAAAAUAUUUUAUUUUGUUAAAUAUUUUUUUGAAAACAAAUUCCUUCUUAAACUACCCAUAAAUAAUUAAAUUGCUUGCUGCAGGCGUGUUCUUUUCUUUUACAAGUCUUGGCUCUCCUUUCCCACGCAAUUUUCUGUGGCAACAAGGGCCCGUCAAGGCAUUUUUCAACUAUAUGCAUUCAUGCUUUCAUGUCCACUCGUUCUGUAAGUAUAUCCCUCAUUUUGACAAAACCCACUAUUUCCAUCCUAUAUUUUUACCAACUUGUCAAAAGAGUCCCUCCAUUAUUAAUUUGGUCAAUUGAGCAUAUGUUUUUUCAAUUUCAGUCAAUUGAGUAAAAUUUUCCGAAAUUAAAGAUUUAUCUCUAUCAAUUGAGAAUUCUUCUUCACAACCUUAGUCAUUCUCAAGAACUUUUUUGUCAUUCUUGAAAUAUCAUCAUUCAUCUCAUCCUUCCUAUUGAGUAAAAGUUUUUUUUUCAAUUUAGAUCACUAAUACUCAAUUGAUUGAAAUGAAAAUUAUAGAUACUCAAUUAACCAAAUUGAUAGCAUGGGAGAUUUUUUUUUCUUAAUUGAUAAUGGAUUUAGCACUUUAGAUUGAUCGUUGUUAGUCAUCAAAAUUGACAAUAACCUUAUUACACUCGAUCUGGGAUUGACCUGAUGAAGGAAUGGAGUUGCAGGUUACAUGGGUCAACUCAAACAAAUUAAAAAAAAUUAAAAUUUUAAUAUUUUAUAUAUAUAAAAAAACAAUUCAUAUGAAUAUACACUAUAUAUGCUGUAAAUAAUAAAGUUUAAAAGAAUAUAUCAAAAAGUUUUUUAUCCCACAUUUUAAAAAAAAACAUAAUUUUUUUUUUGUGAACAUAAAAUAGAUAUAUUAAAGGGCUUCAAAUCUCACAUUGAAAAAAUAAUUUUUUUUCUUUGGAACAUAGAGUAUUAUACAAAAUACUAAAAGGGGUCAGUGCAUCUGUUACUGUGGAUUGAAGCAGUGUAAUGACAGACCAACCCUUGUCACAAAGAGUUGCAAGGGCAGCGGGGAGGGGUGGGGUUGUCUUUCUGCUGGGAUGCAUUUGGCAUUGAAAUGAUGGCUAGGAAGAAAAUGGUUAGCUCAAGUUUUGGUGUGGCUACAGGCCCUGGGAUGCGAACACCUGACGCUUGGGUUGCCCUACCUGUACGCUGGGUCAAACCCGCACGCCCACGUGGCGCUGAGGCUGGCUUGCCCUGUGUUCAAGGCUAAUGGGUCCUGCAUCAGAACCCAAUUUUCUUGGGUUCUUUGUCAGGACCCAAGCCUAUUGGGUCUUAGGUUUCUAAAUAUAAUUAUUUUCGUUAUAAAUAUUAUAAUUUUUAUUAUAGUUGAAAGUAUUAAUAUCAAACAUAUUAUAAUUUGUGUUCUAAAUAUUAUUAGUUUAAUUAUAAUAAAAAUAAUAAUAUUUAUACCCCAAAUAAUAGUAUUGUUGAUAUGAAUACUUUGAAUUAUACUAAAAAUCAUAAUAUUCAUAACACAAAUAAUACUAUUUUUAAUAUUAAUACUUUCAAUUAUAAUAAUAAAAAAUUUUGUAUAGCAAAUAAUAAUAUUUAUACCACAAACAAUACUAUUUUUAGAAUUAAUACGUUCAAUGAUAAUACAAAUACAAAUCUUUGUACCACAAAUAAUAAUAUUUUUUAUAUUAAUACUUUGAACUACAAUAAAAAUAAAUAUUAAUACUUUUAAUUAUAAUAAAAAUAAUAAUAUUUAUACCAAAAUAAUAAUAUUUAUACCAAAAUAAUAAUAUUUAUACCACAAAUAAUACUAUUUUGAAUAUUAAUACUUUCAAUGAUAUAAAAAUAAUAAUCUUUAUACCACAAAUAAUAAUAUUUUUGAUAUUCAUGCUUUGAACUAUAAUAGAAAUAUUAAUAUUUAUAACAUAGAUAAUAGUAUUUUUAAUAUUAAUACCUUCAAUUAUAAUAAAAAUAAUAAUAUUUAUGGCACAAAUAAUAAUAAUAAUAAUAAUAAUAAUUUUUAAUUUUAUCCUUCAAAUCAACUUUAUGAUUUUUUUUUGUGGUUAUUAUUAUUAUAUUAUAUAUAAAGCUAAAUCAUGUGGGAAAAGUCAUGUUUAUCAAGACUCAUUGCACUGUGAAUUGCACAUUUGGUAGGGGCAUGGUGUGUUGCAGCCCCAGACAUAGACACUUGGCGCAAGGGCAUUCAUACCUAGCCACAAAGAUUUCCAAAGAUGCAGAGGGAGAGGUUGCGCUUCAAGUUUCGGACACCUGGCGCUGGGGGCAAACCCGUGAGCUUGGCUUUCCACCCAUGUAAAACCUCUGGGUGAAAAAUUAUAAAUUGACUAGUUUCAUGUAAAACAAAAGAAAAAAUUUGUAACUCUCGAUCGGGUUAUUGGAAAAUUCUGAAAAUUUGCGUGGAGCCUUCUGAUAUGAUAUCUUAGCUUGGGUUAAAAUUUUAGAAGUUUUAGAGAAAUUCAGAAAAUUUGACAAAAAAUCACAAUUUGACUAGUUUUACGUUAUUUGAUGUAAUAUAUUUGUUUUAUAUGUAAUUUGUAUUAUACGUAGAUUGUAGUGUAUGUAUAAUGAAGAUGUUUGCUUUUGGUAUUUAUAUAUUUAAAAAGUAUGAGUAAGGAACUACUAUUAUUAAACUAUUCGAAAAUAAUAUUUUAAGUUUAUAAUUGUUUGUAGUUAAUGUUUUAUUUGUAGAUGAUGUAAGGUUGAGAAAAAUACAAUGAAGUAUAGUUAUGUGGAAUAUUGUAUGACAAGAUGGGAUUUGAUCCAGGAUGGUUGGAUCAAAGUGAAAGUUUUGAGUAUUGUAAUUGAAUGAAGUAUAGUCGAUAACUUGGUAACAUGAGAAAACAAAGGACACUCCGUUGAAAUUUUCAAAAAAAAAAAAAAUCUUAUAAUCUUAGACAUAUUAUUCAAUACUCGAUAUUAGUAAAGAAAUGUUUAAGAUUUCAUGAAAUAAUAAUUUGAGGGUGUUACAACCCAAGUCAGCGGUUCUGCUAACCUGUGUGUUGGGUCUGGACAUGGACCCCCUUCUGUUGGGUCAAGCAUCUUGACCUAAAUCACUUGGGUUUGGACAUGGAUCCAACCCCCUUAGAUCCAAACAUGACCCAAUCCCCAACCCUCUACGGUCUGGACGUGGAAGGACCCAAACUCCUUGGGUCCGGACCUAGUAGAACCUAAACCCCAACCUCUUGGGUCCGAACACGGCCCCAUCCCCAACCCCUUUGGGUCUGGACAAGGACCCAUCCCCCAACCUCCUUCAGUCCCCACCCCACUUAACCCCCAACCCCUCUGGGUCCGGACACGGACCCAACCCCCAACCCCCAUGGGGUCUGGACAUAGAAGGACUCAAACCCCAAACCCCUAGGUUCGAACAUCGAAGGAUCCAAACCCCAACCCCCUAGGUCCGGACACAGCCCAAUUCCCAACUCUUUGGUUCCGGCUACGAACCCAAACCCUAAGUCCUUUGGGUCUGGACAUAGACCCAUCCCCUAACCCCUUUGGGUCCUCACCCCGCCAAACCCCCAACCCCCUUGGGUCUGAACACGACCCAAUCCCCAACUCUCUUAGGUCCGGUCACGAACCCAACCUCCUUCAGUCCUCACACCCCGCCUAACCCUUAUUCCCCAACCCCUUUGAGUUCGAGCACGAACCUAACUCCUCUUGAAUUCGGACAUGGAAGGAUCUAAAUCCCUUGGGUUCGGACACCAAAGAACCCAAACCCCAACCCCAUGAGUCCGGACACGGACCGAACCCCCUUGGUAUUGUUCCACCAAUAUAACAACGUUAUCUUUUUACAAUUUAUAAAGACAAUAACAUGCACAUUUUUUGUUGUGCAGAAUUUCAAGGCAUAAGCCAACAUGUAUGUUGAUAUAGCUGCCGAAAAAGCUACAUCUUAUUACUUAUUUUUGUAUUAAAAAACAUUUAAAAGCUCUUGUUCAUUUCCAUCUGUUUAAUCAUAAAGCUUUUGUAUUAAUGUUUUUAUUGUUUGGUUUGUUGGUGUACUACAACAACAUAUAUUACUACUUUAUAUAUUGUGUCUUCUAGCUAUGUCAAACCUUGCAUCAUGCAGUAAAAAUAUUAAAUCUUAUUUUGGAAUUAACAAAAUCUAUUACAUGCUUCAAUCUUAGAAUAUGUUUUUUUUUUCACGUCUAUUUUUAACCGUUUGGUUAGGGGCUUUUAUUUUUUCCUUUAAAAAAAAUAAACAAGGUGCUAAGACUUUGUUACUAUUAGAAAAAAAAAACAUGAAUUUGAUUGUAACCAUAAAAUUAAAAACUAUAAAAACUUAGAAAAUAAAUAAAUUUGAACCCAUGCUAUUUUAAACACAAAUAUUUUUAUAAUACCAUUUUAAAAAAUAUAUUAUUUUUUGUCUUUUAAAAUAUUUAUAACAUAAAUAAUAUUAUUUUUAAUAUUAAUACCUUCAAUUAUAAUAAUAAUAAUACUUUUAAUUUUAUCCUUCAAAUCAACUAUAUGAUUUUUCUUUGGUUAUAAUAAUAUUUUAUUUCAAAUUUAUUAAUGACAAUAAUGAUAAUAAGAACAACAAUUUAUACUUUUACCCUUCAAAUAGAUAUUGCGUCAGGAUCCAAUGUUAAUAAGCCUUUGUUAGUAUCCAAUUCGCUUGGAUUCUGCACCAGGAUCCAAUGGUAAUGGGUCCUGCACAUCCAAUGUUAAUAAGCCUUUGUUAGUAUCCAAUUCGCUUGGAUUCUGCACCAGGAUCCAAUGGUAAUGGGUCCUGCACAGGACCCAAGAAUGGAUCCUCGCCAGGAUCCAGAUAAUUUGUGUUAUAAAUAUUCUUUGUUUUUUUUAAUAUAAUAAUUUGUGAUAUAAAUAUUAUUAUUUGUCUUAUAAUUCAAAGUGUUCAUAUCAAAAAUAUUAUUAUUUAUGUUAUAAAUAUUAUUAUUUUUAUUAUAACUCAAAGUAUUGAUAUAAAAAAUAUUAUAUGUCCAUUCCAUCUUUUCUAAUUGGUCCAUGCACAUACAGAUACAGUAGGAAGUUGUUUUAAUGUUUUAAAAAAGUAAAUAAAUUGGGUUUUAACUUAAUCACCUAGGUUUUAUCUAAUUAAUUCCCACAUUAUUUUUUUAAACCUAACCUGCGCUGAGCCGAGUUUAACAACAUUAUCACUAACUAGUUGUAAGCAAAUGGAGGAGUGAUUAUUAAGAAUAUGCCUGGCAAGCAAAUUUGCUAAGGCACUUGUUCAUACAGUCAUUUUCAUCUGAGUAGCCAGGUUCAGCAUCAGGCUUUCCUGCUUUCAUCGAUUUUAACUCCAAGAAGUUCUGAACCACAUCGUUGCAGCACAAAGGUGACAUUCUUUCACACCCCUCUGAAAAGUUUCCUAAUUUCCAAUUAUCGGGAGACUUAGACUAUUGCAACUACCAGAAGUCCCACAAGCAUCAAAUACACUGCAUCGAUCACUUGGUUCCCGCCAGUUCAAAGUCCAAUUCGCGUUUCUCCAGAGGAAAAACUGUAUCUGCCCAUUGAACACCAGUCUUGUAUUCUUAUAAUUCACAGCUGUUGAAUUUAUUCUAUUAUAAGGACUUUCCUCUGUAGUUGUUGUGUUCCCAAGAGGUCUGCUUGGUUUCCUGCUGGAAUUCAUGAGCAAGUUAGAAACAAGCCAGAGCCUUUCGUCGGAUCUUACAAAACUUCCUGAAACUCCACUUUUCCAGUACGGAAUCGAUCCGUUCUUCAUGAUGAUGUACUGGUUUUCUCUUUCAUCAAGCUGAAAUUUGAAGUCUCCUGGUGCUGGGUCACUGGGACUCUUCCAAGAAGUCAACAUAAAGUUCUUGUUUGUCUUCAUUCCAGGAAGAAAUGUGUCAGUUGGAUAAUCGAAGCUUUGCCACAAUAUUGCUGAACCAUUUGCAGCUUCUUGGAUCAAGACUAAAUUCCCGGAAUCCAUGAGCUUCAACCUCCGAGUGAAAGAAAAUGAAGAUGAUGUAGUUUCGUUUGUUUUUAUUCUUAUCAAAAAUAAUAAUCUAUGUCCGUUGAAAAGUCAUUUUCUGAAAACAUUUUUAUUAUUAGAAAAGUUUAUUAAUAAAAUAUUUAGUUUAGUUUCCAGAAAAGUAUAUAUUAUUUUUAUUUGAGGUGAAACAUAUUUUUAGAAGUUACAAAAUAUUCAAAAAUAUCUUAUUAUCUAUUUAUUAUAUUAAAUUUAAUAAUCAAUUUAGCACUUUUAAAUUUAAUUUUAUUUUUAUAUAAACUUUGGUCUUAUAUUUUUAUUGUUAUUUGUUUUUCUUUUAUUUUUCAAAUUAUUUUCUAUAACACUACUAAACAUCAGAAAAACUUAUAUUUUCUAGAAAAUCACUUUUUUUUAAAAAAACUAUUUUCUAACAAACAAACUAAUAUGAUUUUUCUAGUAAAAUAACAAGUUCCAAUUCUACUUCAAUGAUAAUCUGGUGAGAUGGAAAAUUAGAAGAUCUUUAAAAUAGAAAAGAGAAAGAGCUCAUCUUGAAAUGCCUAAAUAGCUGUAUAUUUGUGUUGUUUAUGAUGUGAUAAUGCUCCAUCACAAAAAAAAAAAAAAAAACAAACAAACAAAAACAAAACUAAAAAAAUAUCUAGUUGAAUUAUUGCAAAAUUUACUUAGCAAUUAUAAGAGCCCAACAAUGAUAAUGAUGUUCAGGAGACUUUUUUACUAUUAUAAGUCCUCAAUAUCAUAUUUUCAUAUUCUGUAUUUUUUCAAUUUGUACUCAGAUUAGUACGCCCUAGAUUUAUGGAAUUGUAGGCAGGAUCAUUUUUUUUUUUUUGUCAAAAUAUUAUAUUGAGAUGUCAUAUGCGUGUUCUAAGGAAGAAAAAAAAAUCAUCCAUCAUCAGAGAAUGUUACUGCCCAACCUUGUAUUACCAGCACCAUUGUUACAUAGCUAACUGACUAGUUCUUGCUACCCUUUCAGGGGUCCAAGCAACAGCAGAGAGCUAAUUUAUCACAAAUAAGUAUACUUCUAACUAAUCAACGCGUUUUUAGCUAAUUUUAUCACUUCAUGUUUGUUCCUUUUCACUAGAAUAUUCUCCUGGUGGUGUUUUCCAAUUAGACAGGGACGUUACCAGUUGCCUGAACAGCAAGUUUCAUGAUGCACAGUGUCAAUGUCAGGUCUGAACUAAUGGCUGAAAUGCAAAUGGACUAAUGUUAGUACAAGAAGAUAUCUAGCCGAGAACGUUAAUGCUAGAAACUGGAGGCACCACAGAAACCACCUAGUUCUAUUAGGUUUUGGCGUGUCUGAGGAAAAGAGGGAUACAAUUCAGUAAUCUGAAAAGCAAAGAUUACCAGAUGAAGUCAUGGUCUUCUAUUUUUGUCUAUUUCACCUUUUAUUAUUGGCCCAUGAAACUGGUAUGUAGUUUCGUUUGUUUUUAUUCUUAUCAGAAAUAAUAAUCUAGGUUCGUUUAAUGAAAAUUUAUUUUCUGAAAAUUAUUUUCUAAAUUUUUUCAUGUUUCUUAUUAGAAAAGUUUAUUAAUAAAAAUUAAUUUUUCAUUAAUAAAAAAUUUAGUUUGGUUUUUAGAAAGUAUUUUAGUUUUAUUUUAGGUGGAAUACACUUUUUAGAAGUUACAAAAUAUUCAAAAAUAUCCUAUUAUCUAUUUAUUAUAUCAAAUUUGAUCAUCAAUUUAGCUCUUUAAAAUUUAAUUUGAUUUUUAUUUCAACUUUGACCUUAUUCUUCUUAUUGUUAUUUGUUUGUUUUUUAUCCAUUAGAUUUGAUCCUUGUUUUUUUUCUUUCUAUUUAUUUUAUUUGAAAUAAUCUUUUUCAUUUUUUUUUUAAUUUCAUCAUUUAUCAAUUUUUUAUUUGUCAUAUUUAGUUUCUAUUAUUUUAAUUGUUAUUUAUUUUAUUUAAAACAAUUUAUAAAAUUUGAAUAUUUUUUCAAUUUCAUCAUCUUUCAACCUUUUCAUUUGUUAAAUUUAGUUUCUAUUCUUUCAGUAAACUUGAAAAAAAUUAAACAUUAAUAAAUUAUUUUUCCUUUUAUUUUUCAUAGUAUAGUCAAACACUAGAAAGUGUUUUCCAACUUAUUUUCUAUAUUUGGUUAGAUGGAAAAAUAGAAGAUCUUUAAAAUGGAAAAGAGAAAGAGCUCAUCUUAAAAUGCCUAAAUAGAUGUAUAUUUGUGUUGUUUAUGAUGUGAUAAUAUUCUCCAUCACAAAAAAAAGUUGUGGCAUCCAAAAAACACUAAAAAAAUAUCUUGUAUAAAACAAGAGCCCAACAAUGAUAAUGAUGUUCAGGAGACUUUUUAACUAUAAAAAAUAAGUUAGAGGAUAACUAGUAAUUUUUUAUUGAAUGGUGAAAUAAAAAAAAAUCAAUAUAAGAAAAAAAUCAAAAAAAUAAGGAUCAAGUUGAAAAAAAUAAAAUAUCACAAAUUUGGAUUCAGUAGUGAAAUUAAAAACAAAUUAAAAUUUUACAAAAUGGCCAAGAACAUAAAUUAAAAAUCAAAACAAUAAAAAUCAAAGUUAAAAUUUCAAUAAACAAGAAGGCAAUUCUGAAAUUUUAAAUGGCUAGUUUGAAUUUCGAGUGGAAAAGAAAAGAAAACAUCAUCGGCAAUAAAUCAUCCCACCCCUGCUAUGAAACACCAUAAAUUUCCCUCUACAUUGUAAGAUCUUCGUAUCAAGGCGAUAAAAAAAACUACCAAGUCAAAUACUAAAUUAAGCAAAUUUGAAUGGAUCAAAUUGAAAAAAAUAAAAAUAAAUUGAGGGAUACAAGAAAAGGGAUGAACCUUCCCUUCUCCAUACAUUUUGUCCUUAAUUUUUAGGUUGUUCAAAUUUGGUCUCCAUUUCUGUAAACCAAGUGUCAAAUGAGCAAUGAUUUUUUUUUAUUCACACCGUGAGAUCCCCUAGCCAAGGUAGACAAAGUAUAUCACAAAGUUUGCUCCCAAAAAUAAUAAAAUUGAAAAACAAAUUAAAGAAAAAAAAAACUAAAGGACUAAGAGAAAAAAAAUUAAAGGACUAAGAAAAAAAAAACUCUAUUACAAUUCAUAGUGUUUUCUCUAUAAAAUUGAAAUAAUAUUAUUUUAUCCUUAAACAUGACUAUUACAAUGACACGAAUGCAUGUCACUUUGAUAUUAUUUACCCCGCAACUUGAGUCAAAAUCCAUUUCUUGCUGCUUUGCCUUGUCUUCAAGGGAAGUACUGACGGUGAGAGGAUAAGUCAUUUGUGUGUGUGAGCCUUGAGGAUAAGUCAUUUGCCUUGUCUCCAAGGAAAGUACUGCUAACAAUUAAGCUUGUGUGCCUCAGCAUUACACAAAUUCAUUUGAAAACUGUCCCCAUAAUCAACUGCCAUGAUUAAGGAGAAAUCUGGGUUUUUUGCCAAAUGCAUGAUCCACAUAGUGCCGAAUAGCAUCAUAUAGUAUGAAUGAAUAAAGAAAACAACACAGGAAAUGUCCAACAAACUGACUCAACAUUCACAAUGCCAAACAAAAGGCCACGGAAUUGAAUUAAAUUUGCACUCCUACAAGUUAGAAAAUUCACGAUGCCAAGAGGAGGUAAGUGAUCUCGUGAACCUAAUAUCUCCGAGUGGAGUUAUUACAAGAACAGUCUCCUGUCCUCAAAUUAAGAUAUUCGUUAAGAAUUAUUGAUUUCACAUGGCCGGUUACAAAGAUACUGCUAAAUAUCACUAAAAAUAUAUAUGUUUUUAGAAAUUUAUUUUUCAUGAUAACUACUUCUCAAGAAAAAAAUAUUUUCUAGAAACAAACAAGAUUUGCCUAGUAAAAUAACAAGUUCCAAUUCUACUUCAAUGAUAUAUUUGGUGAGGAAAAUUAGAAGAUCUUUGAAAUGAAAAAAGAGAAAGAGCUCAUCUUAAAAUGCCUAAAUACCUGUAUAUUUGUGUUGUUUAUGAUGUGAUAAUGAUAUUCUCCAUCACAAACAAAACCAAAAAAACUAAAAAAAUAUCUAGUUGGAUUAUUGCAAAAUUUACUUAGCAAUUAUAAGAGCCCGACAAUGAUAAUGACGUUCAGGAGAUUUUUUUACUAUAUAAAGAGAUUUUUUUUUAGUUUGAGACAUAUUUUUAUCUUCUGUAUUUUUUUAAUUUGUACUUAAAUUAGUACACACUAGAUUUAUGGAAUUGUAUGCAGUAUCGAUUCUUUUUUUUUUUGUAAAAAUAUGAUAUUGAGGUGUCAUAAACGUGUUCUAAAGAAGAAGAAAAAAUCCACAAUUAGGUCAAAUAAAUUACUUUUUUAUUUUAAUUAUAUGAUAAAAAAUAAUAAUAAACAGUGACACCAAAUAAACUAAAUAAACAAAUUGAUUAUGAUAACUUGAAAAAAAUAACUAUAUUUUUUUAAAUAAUAUAAUUCAAUUCUCAGUCCAAUAAAAUAUAGAAUAAUAAAAUUGAAUUAAAAAUGUAAAAAUAAACCAACCCGAGUCACCUUGAGUUAGCAUAAUCAAUUGAAUUACCAAAAAAAACUAUUAAGUCAAAUACUAAAUUAAGCAAAUUGGAAUAGAUUAAAUUAAAAAAAUAAAUAAAUUAUGGGAUAAAAGAAAAGGGAUGAACCAUACAUUUUAGUCCCUAAUUUUUAGAUUGUUUAAAUUGGUCUCCAUAGCUUUAAUUGCUUUCAAUCAAUAAAACUUUAUUUAAUUUCGGUAAACCAAGCGUCAUCUAAGCAAUGAUUUUCUUUAUUAAUACCCUGAGAUCCCCUAGCCAAGACAGACAAAUAUACCACAAAGUUUAAUCCCAAAAAUAAUAAAAUUAAAAAAAGAAUUAAAGAACCAAAAAAAAAACUGAAGGACUAAGAAAAAAACUCUGUUACAAUUCGUAGUGUUUUCACUAUAGGUGAACAUGACUUUUGCCGGUAAGCCCACCAAGCCCCUGUUCAAAAAACUACAGAGCAUCUCCUUAAUCAUGUCUGGAUCAGACAUGGCCAACAACCUGGGCUCGACUCCCAACCGGUGGAGAAAUGUCUUCCUGCUCUUCCUUGACCAUUGAUAGACGUUGGCUUCGACAAAUUGAUAUUAGGCUGAUAUCCUUGGACCUUCCGAAGAUUGGAUUGUAGGCAAGGCCAGUAUCUGUGCCUUUUUUUAAAUGGUUUUGGAUUCUCCAUGGAACCCUUAAAACUGAGUGUAGGAAUUUCAAAAUGCAGAGUCUAAGGAAGAUCACAAAGAGAAGAAAAAAACAAGGUGAAAGAAGGAUCGUGCAGUGGGCUUGAUUUGUCAGAAGAGAUUGUUUUUACCAUGAUUUAAGUAAUGUGCAGCUGCAAUGAUUGGUGAAUUAUGAGGGGUGGUUGAAAAUUAUAUGAUGCUUUGUCUCCUUAAAGAGAUAUUGGGGAUUAUCUGGUGAUAAACUGUUGUAACCCAUUUUUGGGUCCCCAUAUAAAAAAUAAUAAAAUACAAAAAAAUCAAAAAAAUAUAUUAUAAAAAAAAUAUAACAGUGAAAAAAAUGUCAGAGCGCCCUAAAAAUGCUCAAAAAUUGAUAGAGGAUGCUCAAAAAUAUAAAAAAUAUUUUUGACAGGAUAUCAUUGACUGAUGAGAGCCCCGAUGAUAAAGAAAAUUCAAUUUGUAGAAGAAAAAUGCAAAAUCAGAAGUUUAUGGACUCAAUUAAAUUUUAUUAAAGGUUUAAUUGCAUUUAUGAAGAUUUUAAUUGCAAGAAAAAUUGAUUUUGGAGUUAAUUUGGGCUUUAAUUAGGAGAAAUUAAUUUUCUAGGGUCAAAUUAUAAUUUUUGGAAGUUAAUUUGGUCAAAUUAGGGGCUUAAUUGCAUAAAUAUUGAAGUUUAAUGGCUAAUUAGGGACUUAAUUGAAGAAAUCCGAGACCAAGGACUAAAUUGUAAAACGCGCGCAAAUGUUAGGGCCGAAAUUUGAAUCUGAUGCUUUUGGCGCCUUUUCCUUUUAAAUGAAACGGCGCGUUUUGACCAAAACGACGCCGUUUCAUUCACUGUUGCAAAAAAAAAAAAUACAGAAGCCCAAAACGGUGUCGUUUUGACGGCACUGUAGCUCUUCUUCUUCCCCUGGACACCCGAGGCAGGGGAAGAAGAAGAUUUAUUCUUCCCCUUUUCGCCUAAUUUCUUUCCUUUUUUUGCUCAAAAAGACGCCGAAACAAGGACACCACUUGCCGACCACUUUCCACGUGUUGGACGGGCGGCAGCACACCGGCCACCACCAUGACGUCCCCCCCCCCAUGUUUUUCGCCUAUAAAAACAGGGGAGGAAGAGGAAAAAAAAAAAAAAGACAGAAGGGAGACGAACUGAGAUAGAAGAGAAGAGAAUAGAGAGGGCAGAGAAGAAGAAGAAGAAGAAGAAGAAGCAGGGAAGAAAAGAAGAAAAACAGAAGAAGAGAGAGAACCACCGCCAGCCUCCGCCACCAUCGCCUCCGUGCCUACGCCGCCAGCAGCACCGCCACGACGCACCGCAGGUAAUCUCUCGCCGCCCUGUCGCCUUCUCCUUUGCUGCCUCCCCGUUUGCAUGCAGAACGUGAAUUAAUUCACGUUCUGCAGCUGAAGAGUGGUUACUGUGCUUAGCACAGUAACCAGCCCAUUUGGUAAUGGGCCGGGUUGGCCCAGCCCACUGAAUGGGCCGGACCCGGCCCAUUUCAUUUUUUUUUUUAAUUUUUUACAAUUUUUCCAGCACUUGUUUUUAUCAAUUUUUGCUUAAUAUCGGUCUGUAUUUUACAUCGUAAAAAUAUAAAUUCGGUAUUAAAAUACCCGGUUUUCGUCCCACAGUACUGUUCACACAUGCAUAAAAAAAAAUCAAAAAUAUUUGUUUCAGCAUUUUAUAAUUUUUCCGUAGUUUUUAUGUCAUUUUGAUUAAUAUCGGGCAGUAUUUUUAUAAAAAAUCCGGUAUUAAAAUACCCGGUUUUUCGGCAAAAACUUCCAAAAAUAAAAAAAAAAAUUAAAAAAAAAGAAAAAAAAUGUUUUUGUGCAUACGGCCAAGUGUCUCAAAUCUAAAAAAUCAUAUCGUAUUUUUCAUAUGUCAAAAAAAAUAUUUUAGCAUGCAUUUUGGCUUUAAUAACCAGUUUAUUAAAGUCAAGAGAACAUUGGCCAAAAUCUCAAAAACAACAAAAAAUUUUAUUUUGUUUGAUUUUAGUAUCAGGGAUUAUGAAUUUAUACGUAAAUCGUAUUCCUGAUAUUAAAAAGAUAUUUUCUUUUGACGACUUCGAAUAGUUAGUUUUUUUUACCCGAUAAAGAUAAGGAUCUCCUUACAGAGGAGGACUUUUCUUAAACCGUAAACGAACCAACAAUUCAAAAAAACCACAACACGAUUUUAGAUUUUAUCAGACAUUAAAACAAUGCAGCCUACCUUAGGUAGGGCGUAGUUGGGGUGCUAAUACCUUCCCUUUACGCAACCAGUCUCCGUACCCGAUCUCUAAAGACCAGUUAAGGUUCCUAGUAACCAGAAUAUUAGGUGGCGACUCCCAUUCCAAUUUUUUUCACUUGUAGAGACAAGAAUUCCUUGUCUCUCCCCAUUUGUCAGGAAUAAAUAUUCCGAUUUUUCCUUGAGGGUGGACGAUCGCCGCGCCGCCGCACACGUGCGACAAAAACCAUGGGCACCCUGUAUGGAUUAUGAUGCUCAAAAAGGGUUAAUGUCGCCUAAGAAGAAAUACUACUGUGUGGAAUCUGAUCAAGCGACUUGACACAGCCGUUGAAAGUUUUCAAAGUUUGCUAAGACUCUAAAUUUAAACGAACUGAUAAUAACACGUAGAACACUUGAAAGAAAAAUUGUUUACGGGGCAUUACACAGAUACAAUAAUGAAGUUCUAAGAGGGUUUUGAUUACAAUUUCAGAACAGAAGGACUAAUUAGACAUGAAUUCUGUCAUGGAAAAACAUGAGAUUUCACCAGGAAAAAAAAACCUUUCCAUUCGAAGAUUGAGAAACUUUCCAAGAUUUUAUGCAAAUUGAUAGGAAAUUAUCUACCUUCGUCUGAAGCAAUCGUUGUAUCGAUGCUUAUUUCUUGUUUACUUGAAGAUGAAUCUGUGCCAGAAAGGCCUGUUCCUUGUUUACUUGAACAAGAAGCUGCGCCAGAAAGGCCUCUUCGUAUAAAAAAGGCUGGGUUCUUAGGAACCGGCAAGUUUGCAGUUUCACUGCUAAGCAUCACAACAACAUUGGACAUGGUCGGACGGUCGGAUGGAUCAUCUUGUACGCAUAAGAGUGCAACAUUUACACACCUCAGAAACUCAUUGGUGUUGCAAAUCUCACGUAAUGUCUCGUCCAUUAAAUCCAAUGCCUUGUCUUCUCUCCAUAAUCUCCAAGCCUGGAAUUUUGAAGUUUAAGUCAGCAUCGCUUAUCAAAUGACAAAACAUUAUAUUAGCACGGUUGAACUUACAUAAGCUAGAAGGCUUUGGGCUUCAUCAGAAUUAAAAUAUCCUGUGUUCCUUUUCCCACUAAGAAUCUCAAGUACAACUACGCCGAAACUAAAAACAUCAGAUUUGACAGAAAAUAGGCCAUCUAAUGCGUACUCUGGCGACAUGUAGCCACUGCAUUACAACAAUUUUCACAAGAAUCAGUAACUCGGCUGGAUUCAGACUCCUAAUUCAGCAUUAAACAAUACAUGAUUGAAGGAUUGGAGACUGCAAAAAUAGUGUUUGCAUAUGAAUGUAUGUCUGAUGAAUAUCAAUGUUGAUAGGAUCUGAAACUUACUAAGUUCCAACAACACUGUUUGUGCUCCCCUCGGUUUGUUUGCCUUCGAACAUCCUUGCCAAUCCAAAGUCAGAAAUUUUGGGAUUCAUUUCCGCAUCUAAUAAAAUGUUGCUCGUUUUCAUAUCACGAUGAAUAAUCCUGAGUCUAGAAUCUUGGUGGAGAUAAAGAAGACCUCUAGCAACUCCUAAAAUGAUAUCAAAGCGCGUCUCCCAAUUCAGUAACAUUCCCAGAUCUCGAUCUUCAGCGGUUUUCCAUUUCCAUAAGUACAAAAAUUAGCAACCAUGAUUGCUGCAAACGUACAUUUAUAAACCAAAAAUGAUGAAUCUGUUUAGAGACUAACCAAAUAUGAAGGAAUCUAAGCUUUUGUUAGGCAUAUAUUCAUAGAGUAAAAUCUUUUCAUCUCCUUUUAUGCAAUAGCCUACUAGUCUGACAAGAUUCCGAUGCUGCAAUCUAGCAAUCAAAAUCACCUCAUUCUUAAACUCCUCUAGGCCUUGUCCUGAAACACUAGAGAGUCGUUUUAUUGCAAUUUCUUGACCUCCUGGAAAUUUUCCCUGAAACCAAAGUUGCGAUGCAGGUAAAAUUCAGCCAGAAAACUUGUCAGACACAAAAAUUCCAAUGAUUAACGUAAAUAUUACUUUGUAAACAGGUCCGAAGCCCCCUCUUCCAAGCUUGUUUGCUUCCGAAAAAUAAUCCGUAGCAGCUAGUAUGCUGUCUAAAUCAAAGAAAGGUACAUCUAUGCCCUUCUUAUCUUCUUCGUUGAACUCUUCUGCAUCUAUCAAGUUCUUGACCCGUUUCUCAGUGCCAUACAAAACAGCUGCAUUUCUUUCAGUAUUUUGCUGGCUUUCUG